CCCAUAUGGGCCGAAGGCCCAAGGGCAGCAUCUAUACGCCUAAAAGCCACGGAGAACAGAGAACACCGCACUAUCAGGCCAGACUAGCGCCCAAAGGGGAUAACUGAGUUGCGGUGAGCACACAUAUGUUCCAACGUCCUAGCCAGACGUACUGGUUCCCAUUUCAUGGCCUCCAACAUGGGCUCCAACAGGGGCAUGCGGUUCUGGUCGUUUCCUAAAAC
RNAcentral lists this long non-coding RNA (221 nucleotides) under Volvox carteri. Its description in RNAcentral is "long non-coding RNA (VCAR_LNC003207)". The record is from RNAcentral. Lineage: Eukaryota; Viridiplantae; Chlorophyta; Chlorophyceae; Chlamydomonadales; Volvocaceae.